This 421-nucleotide ribosomal RNA is filed under the name uncultured bacterium. Its description in RNAcentral is "partial 16S ribosomal RNA". It matches the Rfam family "Bacterial small subunit ribosomal RNA", at positions 361 to 774 of the family's 1533-position model. The record is from RNAcentral.
AUUUUGGACAAUGGGUGAAACCCUGAUCCAGCCAUCCCGCGUGUAUGAUGAAUGCAUUNAGGUAGNANAGUACUUUUGGCAGAGANGAAAAGGUAUCUCCUAAUACGAGAUACUGCUGAUGUUAUCUGCAGAAUAAGCACCUGCUAACUACGUGCCAGCAGCCGCGGUAAUACGUAGGGUGCAAGCGUUAAUCGGAAUUACUGGGCGUAAAGCGUGUGUAGGCGGUUCGGAAAGAAAGAUGUGAAAUCCCAGGGCUCAACCUUGGAACUGCAUUUUUAACUGCCGAGCUAGAGUAUGUCAGAGGGGGGUAGAAUUCCACGUGUAGCAGUGAAAUGCGUAGAUAUGUGGAGGAAUACCGAUGGCGAAGGCAGCCCCCUGGGAUAAUACUGACGCUCAGACACGAAAGCGUGGGGAGCAAACA